This 30-nucleotide non-coding RNA is filed under the name Macaca fascicularis (crab-eating macaque). Lineage: Eukaryota; Metazoa; Chordata; Mammalia; Primates; Cercopithecidae. RNAcentral also lists the same sequence under 1 other name. The record is from RNAcentral.
UGGGCUUAAAGCUGUCCUGCCAGAUUCUCC